Long non-coding RNA from Oncorhynchus keta (chum salmon), 356 nucleotides. RefSeq lists it as uncharacterized. The transcript is spliced from 2 exons. The record is from RefSeq and is a predicted model, not a curated record. NCBI's taxonomy places the organism in Eukaryota, Metazoa, Chordata, Actinopteri, Salmoniformes, Salmonidae.
GUAGCCUAGUGGUUAGAGCGUUGGACUAGUAACCGGAAGGUUGCGAGUUCAAACCCCCGAGCUGACAAGGUACAAAUCUGUCGUUCUGCCCCGAACAGGCAGUUAACCCACUGUUCCUAGGCUGUCAUUGAAAAUAAGAAUUUGUUCUUAACUGACUUGCCUAGUAAAAUAAAGGUAAAAUUAAAAAAAUACCAAUAACACAAUCUUUAUCAGAAUGUACAGGCAAUAAAAGUUGUACUCUGGUGUGUUGCCAUGGAAACAUUAUUCCUGAAUAUAAUGAAUCUAUCUAUGUACCAUGAAUUAAACUUCCUCUUACACUGACCAUAAUUUAUAAUAAACUGUCUGAUAUCCAUGAA